This 508-nucleotide ribosomal RNA is filed under the name uncultured bacterium. RNAcentral's name for it is "bacterial SSU rRNA". It matches the Rfam family "Bacterial small subunit ribosomal RNA", at positions 28 to 520 of the family's 1533-position model. The record is from RNAcentral.
GAUGAACGCUAGCUACAGGCUUAACACAUGCAAGUCGAGGGGAAACGAUAUUGGAAGCUUGCUUCCGAUAGGCGUCGACCGGCGCACGGGUGAGUAACGCGUAUCCAACCUGCCCACCACUUGGGGAUAACCUUGCGAAAGUAAGACUAAUACCCAAUGAUAUCUCUAGAAGACAUCUGAAAGAGAUUAAAGAUUUAUCGGUGAUGGAUGGGGAUGCGUCUGAUUAGCUUGUUGGCGGGGUAACGGCCCACCAAGGCGACGAUCAGUAGGGGUUCUGAGAGGAAGGUCCCCCCACAUUGGAACUGAGACACGGUCCAAACUCCUACGGGAGGCAGCAGUGAGGAAUAUUGGGUCAAUGGACGAGAGUCUGAACCAGCCAAGUAGCGUGCAGGAUGACGGCCCUAUGGGUUGUAAACUGCUUUUAUAAGGGAAUAAAGUGAGAGUCGUGACUCUUUUUGCAUGUACCUUAUGAAUAAGGACCGGCUAAUUCCGUGCCAGCAGCCGACGG